CUCGCCGCCGGGAAGUGGCGUGGGUCGACACGGGGUCGAUCCGUCCGCCCCCGGGACGAGACGAAAUGUGGCCGCAUGCGCGGCUGAAUCGCAAA
This 95-nucleotide non-coding RNA is filed under the name unclassified sequences. The record is from Rfam.